GAUGAACGCUGGCGGCGUGCCUAAUACAUGCAAGUCGAGCGAACAGACGAGGAGCUUGCUCCUCUGACGUUAGCGGCGGACGGGUGAGUAACACGUGGAUAACCUACCUAUAAGACUGGGAUAACUUCGGGAAACCGGAGCUAAUACCGGAUAACAUGUUGAACCGCAUGGUUCAACAGUGAAAGACGGUUUUGCUGUCACUUAUAGAUGGAUCCGCGCCGCAUUAGCUAGUUGGUAAGGUAACGGCUUACCAAGGCAACGAUGCGUAGCCGACCUGAGGGGGUGAUCGGCCACACUGGAACUGAGACACGGUCCAGACUCCUACGGGAGGCAGCAGUAGGGAAUCUUCCGCAAUGGGCGAAAGCCUGACGGAGCAACGCCGCGUGAGUGAAGAAGGUCUUCGGAUCGUAAAACUCUGUUAUUAGGGAAGAACAAAUGUGUAAGUAACUAUGCACGUCUUGACGGUACCUAAUCAGAAAGCCACGGCUAACUACGUG
This 497-nucleotide ribosomal RNA is filed under the name uncultured bacterium. RNAcentral's name for it is "partial 16S ribosomal RNA". It matches the Rfam family "Bacterial small subunit ribosomal RNA", at positions 28 to 507 of the family's 1533-position model. The record is from RNAcentral.